GUUGUAUCUUCCUAGAUACACACAUGUUGGAAGUACCCAUCUACUUAACUCUUUUCCUCACUAGACUGCAAGGUCUGUGCAGGAUGAUGUGCAUCAUGUUCAUUUUCAAAUCCCCAGAGGUUGGCACAUAGCAAACCCUGAAUAAAUACAUCCCUGAGAGAGGGAUGGAGGUGGGAGGGAGGAGGGAUAGAGAGGGGGAGGGAAUAACUGUGACUAUAUCUUCAUUAGUCCUUAGAAGAUGGGGUCCUAGGGACAGGGAUUCUUUUGGCACAAGGUAACCACACUCAAAGGUGGUAAGGCAAGUCCUUUGAGAUAUUUUACAGUUAUAGCAUCAAAGAGAGACAGUCAGAUCCAUCCAAAAUCUCCCCUUCUGUGCCCCUGGGACCAGAGGCUUACAUUGAUGAUUGCCCCAUACUAAGCUAUAAAUUCUUUGAAGGCAAGAUCCAUAUCUAAUUCAUCUUUGCAUUCCCAUGGUACUCACUAUAAAGUUUUCUACAAGGAAGAUAUUUAAUAUAUAUUUAUUGAAUGAAUGAAUGAAAGAAUGAGAGGCCAGAAUCAGGAGACCUACACAUGCGUCCACAAAAAGUCAUGGCUUGAGCCUUCUUCACAUGGGGUUGCCAAUGCAUUGGAUUGGCUGCAAACCCAGUACACUUGCUGGUCACCUCAGUUCUAACCAUGCUGGCACUGGGAUGAUCCCAAUUAUUGUCAGCCAAAGGAUGGGCAGCAAACUUUCUGAGAAAUAAAGAAAGUCAGGUCAGUAGAUUGCAGAAGCUUUGACCUCUAAAUUCUCAGAUGAUUCCUCCUUUAUGCAGAACAAGCAAAAUGCACAAAUAGCAGAGUUCCUGGGGUGAUUGAGACUGUGGGUGAAAAAAGAUUUGGGGCACAUUGUGGAAGACAGCUAGAGUCUAUACGUUUAACUUCGCAUUGCUGUGCAUUUUAUUUUAAGCCAGUGUAUAAUUAGAGAGCCUGCCAUGAAAAUGAGCGGUUUUGUUUAUUUAUUAUGUAAGUAUGUCUUUUAUUAAAACGACUUUGUGAAAAUCUAAUUGCUACUACAGUAAUAUAGCAUAGCAGUCCCUUACAUAAAUACAUGAUUAUUAUGUACAGUCACUUAUCUGUGAACGAGUUCUGCUACUACUUUCCUUAAUUAAGGAUACAAAAGGGCUCCUUCAUCUUUGCAUAUUCCCUUGCUAGGACAUUGAUACUCAUUAUUUCCUAAGUCCAAACACUGAAACUGUGUCAAGAAUGCAUCCAUCACUAGAUGGGUACUUAUAGUCAGCGGAAUUUUCAACCCCGUCAGCAAUUUCAGCAAUUUGCAAUUUCUGUAUGUCUGACAUGUGUUUUUAUUGGUGAAGAUCACUUUCAAAUACCAAGAUCAUGAGAAUGAUUCUUUGGGUACUCUCUGCUGCAGCCUAAUGUAAUGACAGUAAUUAACAGCCUGUGAUUAGCAGCCACUCCAGAAAGUGUUUGAAUGUUAAUUUGCUUCAACUAAUAUGCAGCACUUCUGUGUAAUGAGAUCUAAGCUAUAGGUUCAUGGGAAAAGCAAAUUAUUUUCCAGCAUUUAAUCAUACAAAUGAUUCUUAGCUAAUCACUUGAACAGUAAACCUCACUGUUCUAAUAAGUGACAUUUGUUUUUCUGUCAUUCAGUUUAUUAUGGUAUAAGCUAGAGCAAAGAUACUCUUUUUCUUAAUGGUCAAAUCCCCAUUUGCCAGCAACAUCACUCCUAACUAAACACUCAUGACAUAGAGGAGUAGAUUGGGGUUGGAGGGUAAGUACCAAAUGGAGAGAAAAUCUGCAUCACUCCAAAUUUAGUUUCCUGACUUUAAAGGCAUUGCUUGGUGCCAUCUUUACCUCAGUUUACAUAUCCACAGAGUGGAAUGAGUGACCCUUGGCUCUGUAACACAAAUAUGUUGACACCUAAUAUCCACAAAGAAUUUGAGAAUAGAUGAACUGACUUCUUAAAAAGUACGUGCCCUCUGGAGUUCCCAUCGUGGCUCAGUGGUUGACGAAUCCAACUAGGACCCAUGAGGUUGCGGGUUCGAUCCCUGGCCUUGCUCAGUGGGUUAAGGAUCUGGCAUUACCAUGAGCUGUGGUGUAGGCUGCAGAUGCGGCUAGGAUCUGGCAUUGCUGUGGCUCUGGUGUAGGCCGGCAGCUGUAGCUCCGAUUAGACCCCUAGCCUGAGAACCUCCAUAUGCCACUGGUGCGGCCCUAGAAAAGACAAAAAAAAAAAAAGUACAUGCCCUCUCAACAUUAGCCUGGAACUGCUCAAAUCUUGGAGCAAAACCAUUAACAAAUGAUGAUGUGGCCAAGUUAGACCAGCUAAGAAUCAACAGUGCAACAGGCAUUUCAGAAGACAGUGAUGUAAGUAUCCAAGAAUAAAGUGAGGCCUUUGGGAAAUUGGAUGAAGCCCUAGACCAUUUUUUGUAAACUAACUAACUUCACAUUUACACUGAAAAGGUCAAACAUGCCAUAAAAGAUGCUGAGUCAUACUGUCACAGUGGCAUCAGAAAAAU
Molecule: long non-coding RNA, 2510 nt
Filed under: Sus scrofa (pig)
Lineage: Eukaryota; Metazoa; Chordata; Mammalia; Artiodactyla; Suidae
Description: lncRNA (ENSSSCG00000052102.1)
Source: RNAcentral